Molecule: ribosomal RNA, 116 nt
Filed under: Candidatus Altimarinota bacterium
Lineage: Bacteria; Candidatus Altimarinota
Source: RNAcentral
AGGUGUGCGCUGAGCGCGGUGGCCCCACCCCGCCCCAUCCCGAACCGGAGGGUGAAACACCGCAGCGCCGAUAGUACUGGCGGGUUACCCGCUGGGAGCGUAGGUCCGCGCACCUG